GAUGAACGCUGGCGGCGUGCCUAAUACAUGCAAGUCGAGCGAAUGGAUUAAGAGCUUGCUCUUAUGAAGUUAGCGGCGGACGGGUGAGUAACACGUGGGUAACCUGCCCAUAAGACUGGGAUAACUCCGGGAAACCGGGGCUAAUACCGGAUAACAUUUUGAACCGCAUGGUUCGAAAUUGAAAGGCGGCUUCGGCUGUCACUUAUGGAUGGACCCGCGUCGCAUUAGCUAGUUGGGGAGGUAACGGCUCACCAAGGCAACGAUGCGUAGCCGCCCUGAGAGGGUGAUCGGCCACACUGGGACUGAGACACGGCCCAGACUCCUACGGGAGGCAGCAGUAGGGAAUCUUCCGCAAUGGACGAAAGUCUGACGGAGCAACGCCGCGUGAGUGAUGAAGGCUUUCGGGCCGUAAAACUCUGUUGUUAGGGAAGAACAAGUGCUAGUUGAAUAAGCUGGCACCUUGACGGUACCUAACCAGAAAGCCACGGCUAACUACGUGCCAGCCGCCGCCGUAA
RNAcentral lists this ribosomal RNA (515 nucleotides) under uncultured bacterium. Its description in RNAcentral is "partial 16S ribosomal RNA". It matches the Rfam family "Bacterial small subunit ribosomal RNA", at positions 28 to 523 of the family's 1533-position model. The record is from RNAcentral.